Molecule: ribosomal RNA, 29 nt
Filed under: synthetic construct
Description: 16S RIBOSOMAL RNA HELIX 27 from synthetic construct (PDB 2R1G, chain C)
Source: RNAcentral
GGGGAGUACGGCCGCAAGGCUGAAACUCA